Molecule: long non-coding RNA, 1232 nt
Organism: Trichomycterus rosablanca
Lineage: Eukaryota; Metazoa; Chordata; Actinopteri; Siluriformes; Trichomycteridae
Exons: 4
Source: RefSeq, a predicted model, not a curated record
CGUCUCGCUCUCGAGCUUCGCGUCAGGUGAACCGCGGGAAAUAAAAAUUUAGUGUCAGUUUCAGUGAUUUAAUUCUCAGAAACGAGUCUGUAAAGUACGCGCUGUGUAUCUGCUUAAAGAUAAAGUUCCUGCCACAUGUGUUAUUUAGUCAGAGCUUAUUAAAGGACAAGAAUCUGACGACGGUAAUCUCGUCAACGGCUAAACUGUUAUCUGGAAAGUAAGAAAUGGAUAAAAAGACGUUGGUGAAGUGGCGCCAUGCUAAGCUCCUUAAGUUCGAUGGAAAAUGGCCACAUGUCAAGGAGGGCUGCUGAGGUUGAGAGAGUCUCAGUGUCCAACAGUGAAGACCCGGAUAUUGUAGAUAACAGUAUCUGCCUACAUGCACAUCAGGAUGGGUUUUCCAUAUUCUUGUUCAUGAUAAUAGCAGCAAGUUUGAUAUUUAGUACAUUGCUUUACAACCACAUCCACAGAAUGUUACUGUUUUUGUAGCCCCAGAUAAUUACAUAUCCUAAAUCAUUUCAUUCUAGGACUAUGCUGUAAAAGAGAAAAUUGCAACAAGGCCUGGAUCUCGAAAACUUGAAUCUACUAGUGAAUCAGAUGGGCCAUGCCAAUCCAUCUUAAGGCAGUCUGAGCUACUAAAAUAAUGAAAUAAAAAAAAAAGAAGAUCUGUCUGCAUUAGUGCAGAUGAAGGUGGCUGAACAGAUUUUCCCCAUGAAGGAGGUCCAGAAAGUGUACUUCACCAGCAAAUUCAACAAUGUGGACAAGCUAGGAAAACAAGAGGUGUAAUUCAUGUCACAAUUCACACCCCACACACACACAAAGACAUAGGACACAUCCAAGCACCCAAUGCUGCCAUAAUUAAAUGCAUAGUGAAUGAUUAUGAAUGAGAUUUUUUCAUUAUGUAUGUAUAGAGUUUAUAAAUAGAUUUAUACCACAAUACAUUAUUCAAUUAUAUAAUUGUAUAUUAUAUUACUGUAUAAUAAAAUUAUAUUAAUGUAUAAUUACCAUUGUAAAAGAAAUUAUUAAGUGUAAUAUAAUUGUUAUGUAACAAAUACAAUCUAUUACUAUCAUUUUCUAUAUUACUAUUAUUAUAGUACAUUUAACAUUACAAUAUAGAAUGCCAAGUUGGUAAAUGUGUUAUCAGUUUACCAUUUAGAAGGUUUCCUUACCAGUUGUUUUUGUGCCUGUGUUUGAAAUCAUACAGUUGCAUAAUAAAUGGCAAAGAGCCAAAGAUA